GACGAGGGGUCCAAGCGUUGUUCGGAAUUAUUGGGCGUAAAGCGGGUGUAGGUGGCUCUAUAAGUCAGGAGUGAAAUCCCCGAGCUUAACUUGGGAAGUGCUUUUGAUACUGCAGAGCUUGAAUGUGGGAGAGGAUAAUAGAAUUCCAGGUGUAGUGGUGAAAUACGUAGAUAUCUGGAGGAAUACCGGUGGCGAAGGCGGCAUCCUGGACCAACACUGACACUGAGGAGCGAAAGCCAGGGGAGCAAACGGG
Molecule: ribosomal RNA, 253 nt
Filed under: uncultured bacterium
Lineage: Bacteria
Description: partial 16S ribosomal RNA
Rfam family: Bacterial small subunit ribosomal RNA
Source: RNAcentral